RNAcentral lists this ribosomal RNA (506 nucleotides) under uncultured bacterium. Its description in RNAcentral is "bacterial SSU rRNA". It matches the Rfam family "Bacterial small subunit ribosomal RNA", at positions 29 to 524 of the family's 1533-position model. The record is from RNAcentral.
AGUGAACGCUGGCGGCAGGCCUAAUACAUGCAAGUCGAACGGCAGCACGGCAGAGCUUGCUCUGUGGGUGGCGAGUGGCGGACGGGUGAGGAAUACAUGGGAAUCUGCCCAGUCGUGGGGGAUAACGUAGGGAAACUUACGCUAAUACCGCAUGCGCCCUUCGGGGAAAGCCGGGGACCUUCGGGCCUGGCGCGAUUGGAUGAGCCCAUGUCGGAUUAGCUAGUUGGCGGGGUAAUGGCCCACCAAGGCGACGAUCCGUAGCUGGUCUGAGAGGAUGAUCAGCCACACUGGAACUGAGACACGGUCCAGACUCCUACGGGAGGCAGCAGUAGGGAAUAUUGGACAAUGGGCGCAAGCCUGAUCCAGCCAUGCCGCGUGAGUGAGGAAGGCCCUCGGGUUGUAAAGCUCUUUUGUCCGGAAAGAAAAGCGCCGGGUUAAUACCCUGGUGUCCUGACGGUACCGGAAGAAUAAGCACCGGCUAACUUCGUGCCAGCAGCCGCGGUAAU